This 468-nucleotide ribosomal RNA is filed under the name uncultured bacterium. RNAcentral describes it as "partial 16S ribosomal RNA". It matches the Rfam family "Bacterial small subunit ribosomal RNA", at positions 28 to 507 of the family's 1533-position model. The record is from RNAcentral.
GACGAACGCUGGCGGCGUGCUUAACACAUGCAAGUUGAACGGAAAGGCCCUGCUUUUGUGGGGUGCUCGAGUGGCGAACGGGUGAGUAACACGUGAGUAACCUGCCCUUGACUUUGGGAUAACUUCAGGAAACUGGGGCUAAUACCGGAUAGGAGCUCCUGCUGCAUGGUGGGGGUUGGAAAGUUUCGGCGGUUGGGGAUGGACUCGCGGCUUAUCAGCUUGUUGGUGGGGUAGUGGCUUACCAAGGCUUUGACGGGUAGCCGGCCUGAGAGGGUGACCGGCCACAUUGGGACUGAGAUACGGCCCAGACUCCUACGGGAGGCAGCAGUGGGGAAUAUUGCACAAUGGGCGGAAGCCUGAUGCAGCAACGCCGCGUGCGGGAUGGCGGCCUUCGGGUUGUAAACCGCUUUCGCCUGUGACGAAGCGUGAGUGACGGUAAUGGGUAAAGAAGCACCGGCUAACUACGUG